This 330-nucleotide ribosomal RNA is filed under the name uncultured Glomus. RNAcentral describes it as "SSU rRNA". It matches the Rfam family "Eukaryotic small subunit ribosomal RNA", at positions 569 to 906 of the family's 1831-position model. The record is from RNAcentral. Lineage: Eukaryota; Fungi; Glomeromycota; Glomeromycetes; Glomerales; Glomeraceae.
AGCAGCCGCGGUAAUUCCAGCUCCAAUAGCGUAUAUUAAAGUUGUUGCAGUUAAAAAGCUCGUAGUUGAAUUUCGGGGUUAGUAGGUUGGUCGUGCCACUGGUACGUACUGGUCUCACUGACUCCUCCUUCCUGAUGAACUGUAAUGCCAUUAAUUUGGUGUUGCAGGGAAACUGGACUGUUACUUUGAAAAAAUUAGAGUGUUUAAAGCAAGCUAACGCUUGAAUACAUUAGCAUGGAAUAAUGAAAUAGGACGUUCGAUCCUAUUUGUUGGUUCUAGGAUUGACGUAAUGAUUAAUAGGGAUAGUUGGGGCAUUAGUAUUCAAUUGUC